GGCAUCCUUCCCGUCUCCCCUGGCGCCCAUCUUGCGUAACAAAGCUUUUUAUCCGGGCAUAGAAGCGCAAAAUUUUUGAAAUUUAGAAAGAGCGGGCCUACAGAGGCUCCACCAUUUAUAUCGAGGCACCGAAAUGGUUCCAUUUGAUGAGCUUAGACAGGGUAGACAUCUGACACCGACAGAUUUUUUCCGCUAUAUACAGAUUAGAGACUUUGCAGCCCAACC
Molecule: non-coding RNA, 225 nt
Organism: Pelobates cultripes (western spadefoot toad)
Lineage: Eukaryota; Metazoa; Chordata; Amphibia; Anura; Pelobatidae
Source: the annotation of a GenBank genome assembly